Long non-coding RNA from Bombyx mori (domestic silkworm), 672 nucleotides. RefSeq lists it as uncharacterized. NCBI's taxonomy places the organism in Eukaryota, Metazoa, Arthropoda, Insecta, Lepidoptera, Bombycidae. The transcript has 2 exons. The record is from RefSeq and is a predicted model, not a curated record.
UACACGGGGCGAUAACGCAAAUUUUGCCUAAAAAGUCGGGCAUCGCGGUAGAAGCAAUCGUUGACGACUACCCAGAGACAAUUCCUAACUUUCAAAAUGUUGACUUCGUACGUCAUUAUUUUGUCUUUACCCCGCUGUUAUCUGACAGAAAAAUGUGCCUCUUACCGACGCGACUGAGACUAAAUGAUAAGCAUAGCUGAACAAAAAAUAUGUAAUAAGUAAUAAUGUGUCUUGUUUUUUGUUGUUUAUUUGAAACAAAUAACAUAAAUUAAUAAAUUAUCCCACGGCGCGAAACAAAACAUCCGCACCAGACCGUUUCAUUGUAUUAAUAUUAGAUACUUUUUAGCCUGAAUAGUUGUUAAUUGGCGCUAAAUCAAUAAUGAUAGUGAAGAUAAAACUCGCUGAAUUUUUGUCGAUUCUGGGUCUCUUUAGAAUCGGUUUUAACCAGAGAUAAAAAAGACUGAAAAGAACAGAUAAACGCGCGAGAUUCUGGAUCAGUGAAGCGAGUGUCGCACGUGACGACGACACGGUGUGACGACAUCUGGUGAAACGUCCACAAAUAAUUUUAAGAUUUUUAAAGAUGUCCUCUGAAACACUCGUAAUAAUAUUGUCAGGCGUUUAUAUAUUUAACGGCUUCAAUAGAGCAUGAGGUAAUUUUAAUGUCAAUAAAAA